CAGUAUGUAGCUUAUAUAAAGCUUUCUAUUUACACUAGUUUGAAAAUUUUUUUAAUUCAUUCUGA
Molecule: transfer RNA, 65 nt
Filed under: Limassolla sp. XZ-2020
Lineage: Eukaryota; Metazoa; Arthropoda; Insecta; Hemiptera; Cicadellidae
Description: tRNA-Val
Source: RNAcentral